ACGAACGCUGGCGGCGUGCCUAACACAUGCAAGUCAGGGAGAAAAAGGUAGCAAUAUCUUGAGUAAACCGGCGAACGGGUGAGUAUAACGUAGACAACUUCCCUCGCAAACGGGGAUAACUCCGGGAAACCGGAGCUAAUACCCGAUGAUAUCCGGAGAGAGCAUUCUUUCCGGAUCAAAGGCCCGAAAGGGCGUUGCGAGAUGGGUCUGCGCCCCAUUAGAUAGUUGGCGGGGUAAAAGCCCACCAAGUCAACGAUGGGUAGCUGGUCUGAGAGGACGACCAGCCACACUGGAACUGAGACACGGUCCAGACUUCUACGGAAGGCAGCAGUGAGGAAUAUUGCUCAAUGGGCGAAAGCCUGAAGCAGCGACGCCGCGUGAGGGAUGAAAUCCGUUAGGAUGUAAACCUCUUUUAUAGGGGAAGAAUAGCCCGGUUACCGGGUCUGACUGUACCCUAUGAAUAAGCACCGGCCAACUACGU
This 481-nucleotide ribosomal RNA is filed under the name uncultured bacterium. RNAcentral describes it as "bacterial SSU rRNA". It matches the Rfam family "Bacterial small subunit ribosomal RNA", at positions 29 to 506 of the family's 1533-position model. The record is from RNAcentral.